Molecule: long non-coding RNA, 1080 nt
Organism: Gordionus sp. m RMFG-2023
Lineage: Eukaryota; Metazoa; Nematomorpha; Gordioida; Chordodea; Parachordodidae
Exons: 5
Source: RefSeq, a predicted model, not a curated record
AUAUAUAAUAAUCAGUUAAAAACAAUUUAAAAAACAAAUUUAAAACUUAUAUAAAGGAUUGAAAAAUAAUUUCCUAUCAGAGUUUAUAACAAGCUCACUCUCAAUUAAAACUACUUACAAUUACAACACAUCAUCUAGGAAAUAAAAAUACACCACUCGCAUGCACCAUAAUUAAUUAUUCUGAUUUCAUUUUCAACAAAACCUUAUAUACCAACAUACCAGAAAAUAACCAUUGCAAUGUUUUUGUCUUAGAUUCAAAGUACAAACUUCUCAGGUAUUAAACUAUCUACUCAUCAUUAGCAUGAAGAGUGCUCAAGUCAUAAACUUAUUAAUUUAAAAAAGAUGACAUCUAUACAAACAUGGCCCCCAAGCUUCUAAUAUACUUUGCCCAAACUAACCCUGAAUUCAUAGUGGCGCGAUUGCGAUUUAGACGCGAUAAAUACAAAAUACAGUAAAUAUGAUAUCGCAUUCAUAGUUACCGAUCGCCGCGAUUUUUUCAAAACACAAAUCAUUUUGUGAUUAUCGCGAGAUUUUCAAAUAGUGCUUCGUUAAAUACAGAUUUUGGUGAAUAUAGCUCAAAAUUUUUGAUUUUGCGCUACUUUUAAAUUUAGCGCUAAUUUUUUAUUAAUUGAAAUGAAUUCAAUGACAACCUUUUUUGCUGAUAUAAAGCCAAAAAAAUAGAUAAAAUAGCUUUUAUAGAUGCAAAUGAUAUAUUUAAUGAAAUAACAGGAGGUAUACAUGAAUGUGAUCUCAUCGAUAGUGAGAAUAUAUCAGAUGAUAUAUUUAUUCCCAAAGAUUCUGCAGCACUUAAUCUUAGUAAUGAUUCUGUUAUUAUUAUAAAUGUCCUAAGAGAAAGAACAAUGAUAUGGGAAAUUAAUGAAAAUAAGAAGCAGAUAAAGCAUUAAUAACCUUGGAAAUGCUUAAAAGUAAAUCAAAAGAACAUGCAAUAUGUUUAAUGUUAAAAGAAAAAUUAGAUGAUUGUACCAAAGAGGAAAAAAAAGAAAUAACAAAUGAAAUACUUGAUAUUAUAAAAGAUUAUUGAUUAAAAUUAUUUUGUAUAUAUUUUUGUUAUUUGAAAUA